UUUUUACGUUUGUUUGAAAGGUACCAUGCUUUUAUUUUGAAACAGGAAACUGGCGCAAAACCGUUAAAGAGCUUGUUAGUAACGUUUCUUUUAGGAUAUGGUAAAUAGUGUGCCUUAAAGUGAAAAAUAUGUACGUUUCCUUUGCCAAAUAGUACCUGGCUGACAGUGGCACUGUCACGGUCCGGGGUCCUGUGUCUGUGGAAUGCGCGGAUUGCCACACCCCCCGGGUUAGGCCAUCCUCGGCACACCUGCUCUCCAUCGCUGUGAUUACAAGAGAAGCUACUUCACCCGGCGCUGACGGAUGCUCCAUGCCAGUCCGUAAUCACAUCACAAGUGGUUUUGAUUCGGCGUUCAGCGUUUGUCACCUGCCUGUCCUCCUGCUCGAUUGGAUCUCUCUGUACAUCACCUGGCUCUUCCACUAGCUCCACAGGACUUUCUGCUCACGGACUGCCACUCUACCCUCCCGAGCUCCCACGGUCCCGCUCUAUCCCUUCCACGGUCCCGAUUCCGGCUUCCUCGUGUCCUUUCCUCCCCGGGUUUUUCAGUUCCUCGUUUUGCUCUCUAGGUUUCCCGGGUCGCCUUUAGUUAUUGUAAUAAAGUGCCUUUUCUGUUAGCGCUGAGUCUGCGUUUGGAUCCUUUUGUGCACACGCGCCGUGGCGCAUGACAGGCACAAGGUUUGUUAAUGUUUCCUUUAACGAAAUAAGUUACGUGCAAUCAAAAUGUCGUUUAAUAGUUUAUGUGUUGUUAACCUUGACCUUGACCUUUAUGUGUAGCUGUAAGUUAGUGAGGUGAUAUAAUGAAUUGAGUGAUGUAAAUUUGAUGUAUAUGCUAUAUGUGAGCAGGAGAAAUUUGUUUCUUUUGAUUAUUAAUAUUGCUGGUUUUGUUUUGUUCCUAGCUCUUACGGUGUCUUCACUGAAUGUUUCAAUAAAAAAAAUCGUUUCCAAUAACACCUCUGUGAAGCAUCAGUAUAAGAGACCAUCAUUCAGCCAGGGAUGCUACAAUAAGACAUAAACAAAUUUAAAAGAGUGGAGUGGAGAGGUUAUGUGGGAUAAGCUAUUUUGAACAAGUGAGUUUUGAGUUGGGACUUAAAGAGAGAGAAGGAAGAGAUAUUUCUUAAAUCAGGAGGUAGUGAAUUCCAGAGUCGAGGAGCAGAGCAGCUGAAAGCCCUGUUCCCCAUGGUGACAAGACGGGGGAAGGGGAUGGCGAGUGAAAGUGAAGAAGUAGAUCUGAGACAACGAGAUGGGGCGGUGAUCUUAACCAGAUCAGAGAAAUAUGCAGGGGAGAGAUGAUGAAUAGCCUUAAAUGUGUUCAAGAGUAUUUUGAAAUUGAUACGAUAUUUGACCGGGAGCCAAUGAAGCUGCUGCAGAACAGGAGUAAUGUGGUGGAUAGAAGGGGUCCUGGUGAUAAUACGGGCAGCAGAGUUCUGGACGCGUUGGAGCUUGUGGAUGGAUUUUUGAAUAAGACCAAAAAGAAGUGAAUUACAAUAAUCAAUCCGGGAAGUAACAAGGCUAUGGACAAGAAUGGCAGUGGCAUGUGGGGUGAGAAAAGGACGGAGACGAUUAAUGUUGCGCAAUUGAAAAUAUGCAGACCGAGUAACAUUAUUAAUAUGUGAAUUGAAAGAUAGAGUACUGUCGAGGAUGACACUCAAAGUUUUCACAGAGGAAGAAACGAAGACCGGCGAGUUAUUGAUAGUAACAGACAGUGGUGGUCCUAGCCUGGGCGAACACUUCUGUUGUGGAUAGGCGUAGCUUUGGGUCACGUGGUGUCGGUAAUAGUAAUAGUGAUUGCUAUAUCACCUGUUCAGGUCGCGAGGGAAUUUGUGAAUGAGUGGGUGAUGGGGGAAGUCGACUUUUGCUGAUCGCUCACGCUUAGAAUGUUUUUUGAUCACUGUUUUUUUCUACGGAUUUUAAGGUUUUGAUAACAAAUAAAGGAGUUUUUAAUCUGGAACUGUGACUUACGUUUUGAACAGCGGGCGCGUCAACAUUAUUCCCCUAUUCAGCUGCUCGGCGACUCAAAGGCUUGACAGUCGCCAAUAUUUGUCAGCAAAAAGGUGCGACGGCAAUGGAGCUUCCCGCAAUCAGCGUUGAAUAAACGCCGACGCGAGCCCACACACCGCCGCCACUUCACCCAUUAAAGCAGCUAGUAGUCUGACAGAU
Molecule: long non-coding RNA, 2156 nt
Organism: Oreochromis niloticus (Nile tilapia)
Lineage: Eukaryota; Metazoa; Chordata; Actinopteri; Cichliformes; Cichlidae
Exons: 3
Source: RefSeq, a predicted model, not a curated record